RNAcentral lists this transfer RNA (74 nucleotides) under Candidatus Omnitrophota bacterium. RNAcentral's name for it is "tRNA-Arg". It matches the Rfam family "tRNA". From Rfam's summary of the family: Transfer RNA (tRNA) molecules are approximately 80 nucleotides in length. Their secondary structure includes four short double-helical elements and three loops (D, anti-codon, and T loops). The record is from RNAcentral. Lineage: Bacteria; Pseudomonadati; Candidatus Omnitrophota.
GCGCUCGUAGCUCAACUGGAUAGAGCGUCAGUCUUCGGAACUGAAUGUUGGGAGUUCGACUCUCCCCGAGCGCG